Molecule: ribosomal RNA, 359 nt
Filed under: uncultured bacterium
Lineage: Bacteria
Description: bacterial SSU rRNA
Rfam family: Bacterial small subunit ribosomal RNA
Source: RNAcentral
GGAGGUGGUAUGUUAAUAGCAUAUUCAUUUGACGUUUAGCUGCAGAAGAAGCACCGGCUAACUCCGUGCCAGCAGCCGCGGUAAUACGGAGGGUGCGAGCGUUUAAUCGGAAUUACUGGGCGUAAAAGCGCAUGCAGGUGGUUUGUUAAGUCAGAUGUGAAAGCCCGGGGCUCAACCUCGGAAUUGCAUUUGAAAACUGGCAAACUAGAGUACUGUAGAGGGGGUAGGAAUUUCAGGUGUAGCGGUGAAAUAGCGUAGAGAUCUGAAGGAAUACCGGUGGCGAAGGCGGCCCCCUCGGACAGAUACUGACACUCAGAUGCGAAAGCGUGGGGAGCAAACAGGAUUAGAUACCCUGGUAG